CAGUUCGGAUUGUAGUCUGCAACCCGACUACAUGAAGCUGGAAUCGCUAGUAAUCGCGGAUCAGAAUGCCGCGGUGAAUACGUUCCCGGGUCUUGUACACACCGCCCGUCACACCAUGGGAGUCGGAAAUGCCCGAAGUCAGUGACCCAACCGUAAGGAGGGAGCUGCCGAAGGUGGAGCCGGUAACUGGGGCGAAGUCGUAACAAGGUAUC
This 212-nucleotide ribosomal RNA is filed under the name uncultured bacterium. Its description in RNAcentral is "partial 16S ribosomal RNA". It matches the Rfam family "Bacterial small subunit ribosomal RNA", at positions 1289 to 1500 of the family's 1533-position model. The record is from RNAcentral.